GCUGACUCUCCCACGCUUCCUUCACUUCAUUCACUCCCGAAGCUUCCACAUCAAUGCCAAUAUAGUGACCAAUUUGAGCUUCAUCCCACUUCUCCACAUCAGGUACUUUUCCACAAUACAUAUCACAUACAGUGGCAUAUGGGGAGACGAAGAUACCGAUAAGCACAUUUUUGACGAAAUCGAGAAGUCGAUGGUGAGUUGACUCGGCAGGUCUGUGAAUCGGGAAUGAAUUCGCCAUCAUCAUCAUCGCCUCUAAAACCCACACAAAA
Molecule: unclassified non-coding RNA, 269 nt
Filed under: Hevea brasiliensis (rubber tree)
Lineage: Eukaryota; Viridiplantae; Streptophyta; Magnoliopsida; Malpighiales; Euphorbiaceae
Source: RNAcentral